Molecule: long non-coding RNA, 6955 nt
Filed under: Chlamydomonas reinhardtii
Lineage: Eukaryota; Viridiplantae; Chlorophyta; Chlorophyceae; Chlamydomonadales; Chlamydomonadaceae
Description: long non-coding RNA (CREI_LNC000885)
Source: RNAcentral
CGCCCAAGCGCAGCCGCAUGGUCAUCGGUGUGCUGCUGGCCACCGGCAUGGUGCUGACCCAGAUCGUCGGCGGCCUGAAGAGCAGGGAGUACAUCCACCUGUGGCCCGCCGCCGUGCUCACCUCCGCGCUCAUGCUGCUGACCGGCUGCAUGAACGCGGAUCAGGCGCGCAAGGCCAUCUACUGGGAUGUCUACCUGACCAUUGCCGCGGCCUUUGGCGUGUCGGCCGCGCUGGAGGGCACGGGUGUGGCUGCGUCCUUCGCCAACGGUAUCAUCUCCAUCGGCAAGAACCUGCACAGCGACGGCGCGGCUCUCAUUGCCAGUGAGUGGGAAGGCCAGUACAGGCUGUCACGUAACAAGGAGGCCCACUUCGUACACGACGGCAGGGGUAUGUUCAGCUGGUUGCAACUGCCGCAAGCGUCGUCUUUGGUUCGCACCUGCCUCGGACUUCAUGUACACUUCUAACAAGCUCUCACCCCGCUCAUGCCUCGUCCCCUCGCCUUCGCCUUCCCCAACGCGCAGUUUACAUUGCCAGUGAGUCGGGUACAGGAUACGCUGUAGCAUGUGUCGCAUGGUGCCCUUUGAAAGCCCCACAGGUUUAUGCCAUAGGCUCAUAGUCAGUUCAGCAGCAGCAGUGUAGCCUGUCACAACCGGGUUGCAACUUCCUGAUUAUAAUUUCUCCCUUCCACCUGGCCCCUGAACAGCUGCGAUGUUGUCCGAGCUGCUGACCAACAAUGCCGCCGGCGCCAUCAUGUACCCCAUCGCCGCCAUUGCGGGUGAGAAACGUGGGCAGGCGUGGGUAGGCUUGUGGAGAAGGAAGCAACAGGAGCGCAAUGCCCGUGUGAGCGCGUUACACCAUCUGCCGCAAUUCAAUGGGUUCGCGCGCUAAACCACCAUCCAAUUCCCUGAACAGGUGACGCGCUCAAGAUCUCACCCAAGGAGACCUCUGUGGCCAUCAUGCUGGGCGCCUCGGCCGGCUUCAUCAACCCCUUCUCCUACCAGUGCAACCUGAUGGUGUACGCUGCUGGCAACUAUAGCGUGCGCGAGUUCGCCAUCAUUGGCGCCCCGUUCCAAAUAUGGCUCAUGAUUGUCGCGGGCUUCAUCCUGUGCUACAUGAAGGAAUGGCACCAGGUGCGGAUUGGUACAUAAGACUCCAUUAAGAUGCCUCCGCAAAUGCAUGCAGAUGGUGGGCAUUGUGAUUGGUAACCCGCUCAGGGCCAACGGCGAUGCAGAAGCCGGCGUGCUCACCUUCCAUCUGAUGAUCUCCCGACCCCCCGUGUCCUGUAGGUCUGGAUCGUGUCCUGGAUCUGCACCGCCGGCAUCGUCCUCCUGCCGGCCCUGUAUUUCCUGCUGCCGACCAAGGUUCAGCUCCGCAUCGAUGCAUUCUUCGAUCGGGUGGCGCAGACCCUGAACCCCAAGCUCAUUAUUGAGCGCCGCAACUCGAUCCGCCGCCAGGCCUCGCGCACCGGCUCUGACGGCACCGGCAGCUCAGAUAGCCCCAGGGCACUUGGCGUGCCAAAGGUCAUCACAGCGUAAUGACCUCGCCAAAUCCUAUUCACAAUAACGUGUACGGGGCGUGGGGUAUGGUGAUGAUGAUGACGUGUUGAACAUGUCUGUUUCGAUGUGUGUGUCAAAGUUGUUGUGCUUGGGUGUGACGUAGGCAGGCUUGGUGAUGUGCAGGAGGAUGUUUCGUAAACCCUUGAUCAUUGGUUGGAAGGACCUGGCAUGGAAGGUGCCGGGGCAUUCCGAGAUGAAUCGCGAGGCGUGUGCAGAGUGGAGCCUGUCGGUCAUAGAGUGUCGGGCAGGCCAUAAAACCGGGCUGCACUGGUUUGGCGCUCUCGAUGCAUGGAUAAAAGAUGGCAAGGGCUUCAAAAUGUGUAGAGCUUAGGGCAGUUUGGUCGCUUUUGUGCACUACUAUGGCCUCUCCGGCCUGGCACGCGCAUUUACUACUGUCGAUCGGGCCGCCACUUGUGUACUGAAAGCACACUGCAUAGUUACUGUUUGUAUUAAUUUCGGACGGUCCCAACUUGAGACAAAGAAGUUGCGCGGACCGAGUGCCGCUUUUUCUUCAAAAGACAAAUGGCCGCGAUAGGAUGGCCCGGCAUCGUCGCGAUCAUCAGUGUCGCGAUAUCGUUCAUCAUCAUGGCCGCGGACUGGGUUAGUGCGCGGGCUCGGGGGGUGGGGGUCAGGUGUGGACGGUGUGUUAACGGAUUGCAAAUGGCUUUUGCAAAAUGUUUAACGAUGCUGUGUUGCUGGCACUUGGCAGACUUUGUCGCAAACUCGCUUGCUGCAAGCGGAAGAGCGCUGAAAGCUGAGAGUACCCGCGAACGGUCUCUCCCCACGCGAUGAGCUCACGCUGUAAUUAAAGCGAUAAGCAAGUGCUAUUGCUAUUGUCUAAAGAAUAUGUUUCCUGGCUUGAGAAGGGAACACUGUGCCGCCCCCAGCGCCAGCUCCGGUUGCCCCGGUUCGCAGAGCCGGCAACUGUGCAUACACGUAACUGUGCACAUUGCCCCGCCCUCAUCUUAGAAAAGCGCCCGGUGAUCCCAGAAGAGUCCGUGGAUAACACUACGGGUAUCGAUCUUGUCGCUCAUGUGCAAUAAUGCGUCUUGUGGUCCCAUUCGUGGGAGCAGCCAGUAAUCGAGCUGGGAACUUUCUUGAUCCCUGGACAGGUCGGCCCUGACAUAACCUUCACGAUCCUGCUUUCAUGGUUAACAGCUUUCGAUGGUAAGCAGAGAUAAUGUUCUUUCGGCUGCCGCUUGAGGGAUGGCCGGGGACAGGAGAGUACGGCGGUAGCGGGGUCUCAUCAACGUGCCCAGCUUCGAGUGCCCAUGUACAUGCCAAACUAGCACGCACGGCAACCUCUUGAGUUUUACGCAUGGCCAUGGCACACUGUGGCCGUAAAUCUGAAUGCCAUACAUAGGUAAAAUCAUCACAGUUGCCAAAGCCGCGGCGGGCUACGGCAACACUGGCCUCCUUACCGUCAUCUUUCUGUACUGGGUGGCAGAGGGCGUUACGCAGACCGGAGGUAAGACCUGGAUUGGCGUCGUUAGCUGUGGUUGGGGUGCCAUUGCUGGAGCUUAUGGCAUGAAUGCAUGCUUGAUAACUUCAGCUCAACGGUGGCGGCCCAGUCAGUGGAGGCUGGAUGCAGCAUUGCCCUACCUCUCCCCCCGCAUAUCUUGACGAGUGUUGCGGAACUAGAUAAUGCGUACGUAGACCAGAGCGGAAGACGGAGUGGGCUUGCAGGCGGCACGAGAGUAGGCAGUCAGUAGCGCAAGUUGCGAAUUCACAUGUUACCUCGUAACCGACGGUAAACGCUGUGGACGGUCGCGCCCAUGGCUGGCUGACGGAAGGUGGCUGCUGUAUUGGGAUGGCUGGGCUGGACGACGGCGGCCGGGCUGGCGUUGGGACUACCAGAAAGGAUGCGCCCAAAACCAACCUGGAUAUCUAUAGGUCACCCUUGCUCUCCUUCCCUGCAUCACACAGGUCUAGAGCUAGUCAUGAACUACGUCCUGGGCCGCUCCCGGUCAGUGCACUGGGCGUUGGUGCGCUCAAUGUUCCCCGUGAUGGUCUUGUCCGCGUUCCUGAACAACACCCCGUGCGUCACCUUCAUGAUCCCCAGUAAGUGACACGGCCUGGGAACAACAUAUUCAAAGCUGCCCUACAUUACGGCAGCAGACGAACGGCCGAUGCAGGCAACCUCCGGCGGGGUCAUUUGGGAAGCCCUGCCAGGGAGGGGGCUAGGCUCGAUGUACCGUACAGAAAGCGCUGUUGAUCCAGUUCUCUGCUCAUCCUUGCUCCCCUGCAGUCCUGAUGUCCUGGGCUCGGCGCUGCGGCGUGCCGCCUAAGAAGCUGCUCAUUCCGCUGUCGUACGCGGCCGUGCUGGGUGGCACAUGCACUUCCAUCGGUACCUCCACCAACCUGGUCAUCGUGGGCAUGCAAGACACGCGUUACAACAAGCAGGUGAGGGCACGAAUUUAGCACAUGCCGUCCACCAACUACGUGCAUUUGUGCUGCUGCGUCUGCAUUCCAACCGCAUCCAUCCCAUCGGAUGUGCCCUUAACCCUAUGCAGAACAAGGAGGAUGAGGCCAAGUUCGGCAUGUUUGACAUUGCGCCGUACGGAGUGCCGUACGCGCUCAUGGGCUUUGUCUUCAUCAUCCUAACGCAACGGUUCCUGCUGCCGGGCAACAGCUCGCGCUACGCUAAGGACCUGCUCAUUGCUGUGCGCGUGCUGCCCAGCUCUCCGGUCGUUAAGAAGAAGCUCAAGGACUCGGGCUUGCGCACACAGACUGGAUUCAGUUUGGCGGGGCUGUGGCGUGGUGGUGCCAUGACCAGGUACGGACCCACCAGGAAUCUUGUGUGUGCGAGAUGUGCUGCGGCAUGCAGGGCUCCCUGAGCCGCUUUGUGCUUGCUCGCUCGUGCGCACCCAGCGCCUGCUUGUGACCACCAUCCAGCAAUCCAGCAACGAGCCCACGACACGUCGUGCCUGCAGGCAGGUGGAUCCCGAUACGGUGCUGGAGGCCAACGACAUCCUGUACUGCGCCGGUAAGUUUUUGGGGUUUCUCGUGCAAACCCCAGCACAUCCCGCCGCGCCGGUGUGGCCUUGCAUGAUCUCCCUUGCGCAUUAGCAGAAGGAAGAUUAAUCAGGACUGCAACAUAGAUGAGGGUGCAUCCGGGUGCUGUAUGUGCAAGUGACUUGCCAAGCGAUAUUCACGGGCUUCAAUCCUUCGCGCCUUCCUGCAGGCGAGCUGGACGUGGUGGAGUUCGUGGGCGAGGAGUUUGGCUUGGGCCUGGUGACCGCGGUGCGUAUCCACCAUAGCGCCCGGCACGUACCACCUGUGGGGCUGGCGCGGGGUAGUGUUCGUGAGUGCCACCUGUGUAUGUGCGCGCCUGUGCAACAGAGGCAGGGUUUGCGGUAGCGCGCAUUGCGUUCGUGUGCCCGCCCGUCGAGCAAGCUUGUCCCUCUGCUGUUUAUGCCCGCACUUUUCAAACGCCAGGAGACGGAGCGUGCCCUGACUGACGGCCAGGCCGUGGGCGACAGCGAGGCGACCGCAUUCCACGACACCGGCGCCUCUCCCUACAAGAAACUGGUGCAGGUGGGUGCGGCGCGGGAUCCCCAUACUUGUGAGGCAGCAGCCAAACAAUGAAUCUAAGCAUACGGCGGCAAACUUGGUUGUCAAGCGUUAUCACAGUCGUAGUUCUACCCUGUGCGGCCUAGCGUGUAAGUUACACGGGCGCUUCCUGCAGGUCACAAUGACGAAGACCGCCGACUUGGUCGGCCGCACCGUGCGCGAGGUAUCGUGGCAGGGCCGCUUCGGUCUCAUCCCCGUGGCCAUCCAGCGCGGCAACGGCCGUGAGGACGGGCGCCUGAACGAUGUGGUGCUGGCCGCCGGCGACGUGCUCAUCCUGGACACCAGUGAGUAGCUAGAUAGGGCGGGGCGGCACGGCCCAUGGCACGUGCGUGGGCCCGCGGCGGGUCCUGGGCGGGCGGGUGCGCACAAUCGCAACCCACGCUGGAUGGUUGACACACGCACGUGGUGUUUUCGAUCUCCAGCAUCCUUGGUACGCGUAUUAUACGUGUCAUUCUAUUGAUGACUGCAUGCACCGCACGUUUCCUGCGACCCUGCCCAUGCUGCCUGCUUGCCUUACUCCUGCCACAGCCCCUCACUUCGACGAAGCACGCGACGACUUCAAGAUCAACUUUGAGAAGCUGAGAUUCGUGAAGGACGGCGCCGCCAAGGAGUUUGUGAUUGGCGUCAAGGUCAAGAAGAACUCGGAAGUAGUGAACAAAACGGUCACCGCCGGUGAGGACACGUUUGCGAGCCCCACCCACGUGCCCCACGGUUGGCUGCUGAGUGCGGGCAUGUUGGCAGUGACGCAUGCGUGUGUACGGUAUGCCUGGACCGCCUGGCACAGCGCUGACUAAUGACUGCUACCCCUUGGCUUUUCGCAGCCGGUCUUCGUGGAGUGCCCGGCCUGUUCGUGCUGUCCGUGGACCGCGCUGACGGCAGCAGUGUGGACGCCUCUGACUACCUGUACAAAAUCCAGCCCGUGAGUGCUGGUAACUGCCGGUGUUGGUUCCGGCUCCCGGGCGCCAUACCACAUUCCUUGCAUUUGCUCGCAUAUGCUCACCCGAUGAUUAACGGGUGCCAUCAGUAUUUGUUCUUAGCACCUGCUAAUUGCCUUGUUGCACAGGGUGACACCCUUUGGCUGGCGGCGGACGUGGGCGCCGUGGGCUUCCUGUCUAAGUUCCCUGGCCUGGAGCUGGUGCAGCAGGAGCAAGUGGACAAGACCGGCACCUCCAUCCUCUACCGCCACCUGGUGCAGGCGGCCGUGAGCCACAAGGGCCCACUGGUCGGCAAGACUGUGCGCGACGUCCGCUUCCGCACCCUGUACAAUGCGGCCAUCGUGGCCGUGCACCGCGAGGGCGUGCGCGUGCCGCUCAAGGUAACAGGAAGCAAGCUCAACUGUGCCGCCGGUAAUAGUUCUCUGUGCUGACACAGGUACACGCGCACCUUGCAUACUACGCUUGACGCCUAUGGUGCCAGCAGUGGGGUUGUGCCACGGGGUUCACCUUCUUGCUGGUGCGUGUACGUGCGCGCGGUUCCUACCCCACAGGUCCAGGACAUCGUGCUGCAGGGCGGCGACGUGCUCCUGAUCAGCUGCCACACUAAGUGGGCUGAGGAGCACCGCAUGGACAAGGCGUUUGUGCUGGUGCAGGCGGUUCCCGACUCUUCGCCGCCCAAGCGCGGCCGCAUGGCCAUCGGUGUGCUGCUGGUUGUGGGCAUGGUGCUUACACAGAUUGUGGGCGGCCUGAAAGAGAAGGAGUACAUCCACCUGUGGCCCGCCGCCGUGCUCACUGCUGCGCUCAUGCUGCUGACCGGCUGCAUGAACGCGGAUCAGGCGCGCAAGGCCAUCAUGUGGGAUGUCUAUCUGACCAUUGCCGCGGCCUUUGGCG